This is a non-coding RNA of Lysinibacillus sp. BF-4, 182 nucleotides long. The record is from Rfam. Lineage: Bacteria; Bacillati; Bacillota; Bacilli; Caryophanales; Bacillaceae.
UAAAUCCUAGGCUAUACGUUUAGUUUUAUUUUUGAUUGACCGACACCAGUAACUAGGAAACUUUAAUUUCAAUUACAAAAAUACGCCUUUUACAUAGAAGGACAUUUGCGUACUUGAUGCGAGUAUCCACCUUCACAUAGAAGGGUUCAAUCAACUUUAAGCGACGGUAGCUUUGGAUUUUU